GCCGAUGUAGCUUAAACGGUAGAGCAGUCCCUUCGUAAGGGAAAGGUUGUCAGUUCAAUUCUGACCAUCGGCUCCA
This 76-nucleotide transfer RNA is filed under the name Candidatus Cloacimonadota bacterium. RNAcentral's name for it is "tRNA-Thr". It matches the Rfam family "tRNA". Rfam says of the family: Transfer RNA (tRNA) molecules are approximately 80 nucleotides in length. Their secondary structure includes four short double-helical elements and three loops (D, anti-codon, and T loops). Lineage: Bacteria; Pseudomonadati; Candidatus Cloacimonadota. The record is from RNAcentral.